This is a long non-coding RNA of Adelges cooleyi (spruce gall adelgid), 525 nucleotides long. RefSeq lists it as uncharacterized. The transcript is spliced from 3 exons. The record is from RefSeq and is a predicted model, not a curated record. NCBI's taxonomy places the organism in Eukaryota, Metazoa, Arthropoda, Insecta, Hemiptera, Adelgidae.
AAUCAAACCGUGUUACUAAAAAGAAAAGGAAAAACAAAAUAUUAUUUUAUAGGGUGUAUUAUAUGACUGAUUGCAUACAACAUUUUCGAAAAUUUGUCAAAUAGUCGUGAGAAACGUGUUGAAUACUCACUUUAUUAAACGCUAUGCGUACUUCUCCAAAGGUACCUGUUCCCAAAAUACCAUAAACUGCUAGUUCCAUUCUAACUUCUUGAGGUAAAUUGGGUAUAUCAGCACUGUUAUCUAUAUAACUGUAAACUAAAGACAACAUGUUAUUACAAAUUAUUAUUUUUUAAUGGACAUACAAUCUAUAAUGAACAAACUUAAGCAUGGACACAAGCCACCGUAGACACAUUCUUACAUAAAAUAAAGCUCAUCAUGUAAAAAAAAAAGGAGGGUGGACAGCAUCUGUUCUGUUGUGUACAGAUUGCCCAACGAGACAAUUUUCAAUGGAUGUCGACAUGGGACGGGUGCUAGUACACAGUAGUAUCAUUUUCAUAGAAAUUAAUUUUUUUUUUUUUUUUAAAU